This 90-nucleotide transfer RNA is filed under the name Paenarthrobacter sp. YJN-5. RNAcentral describes it as "tRNA-Ser". It matches the Rfam family "tRNA". From Rfam's summary of the family: Transfer RNA (tRNA) molecules are approximately 80 nucleotides in length. Their secondary structure includes four short double-helical elements and three loops (D, anti-codon, and T loops). Further hydrogen bonds mediate the characteristic L-shaped molecular structure. tRNAs have two regions of fundamental functional importance: the anti-codon, which is responsible for specific mRNA codon recognition, and the 3' end, to which the tRNAs corresponding amino acid is attached (by aminoacyl-tRNA synthetases). tRNAs cope with the degeneracy of the genetic code in two manners: having more than one tRNA (with a specific anti-codon) for a particular amino acid; and 'wobble' base-pairing, i.e. permitting non-standard base-pairing at the 3rd anti-codon position. Lineage: Bacteria; Bacillati; Actinomycetota; Actinomycetes; Micrococcales; Micrococcaceae. The record is from RNAcentral.
GGAAGUUUGGCCGAGUGGUAAGGCGUCUGUCUUGAAAACAGCAGCCGGGUGUCACAGCCCGCGGGGGUUCGAUCCCCUCAACUUCCGCCA